This 449-nucleotide ribosomal RNA is filed under the name uncultured bacterium. RNAcentral describes it as "partial 16S ribosomal RNA". It matches the Rfam family "Bacterial small subunit ribosomal RNA", at positions 29 to 523 of the family's 1533-position model. The record is from RNAcentral.
AGCGAACGCUGGCGGCAGGCCUAACACAUGCAAGUCGAGCGCCGUAGCAAUACGGAGCGGCAGACGGGAGAGUAACACGUGGGAACGUGCCCUUUGGUUCGGAACAACCCAGGGAAACUUGGGCUAAUACCGGAUAAGCCCUUACGGGGAAAGAUUUAUCGCCGAAGGAUCGGCCCGCGUCUGAUUAGCCAGUUGGGGGGGUAAUGGCCAACCAAGGCAACGAUCAGUAGCUGGUCUGAGAGGCUGAUCAGCCUCAAUGGGACGGAGACACGGCCCAGACUCCUACGGGAGGCAGCAGUGGGGAAUAUUGGACAAUGGGCGCAAGCCUGAUCCAGCCAUGCCGCGUGGGUGAUGAAGGCCCUAGGGUUGUAAAGCCCUUUCGGCGGGGAAGAUAAUGACGGUACCCGCAGAAGAAGCCCCGGCUAACUUCGUGCCAGCCGCCGCAGUAA